UACGUAGGGGGCGAGCGUUGUCCGGAUUUAUUGGGCUUAAAGCGCGCGUAGGCGGCGCGGUAUGUCGUGCGUGAAAUCUCCCGGCUUAACUGGGAGGGGCCGUGCGAAACUGCCGGGCUUGAGGUCAGAAGGGGAAAGUGGAAUUCCGGGUGUAGUGGUGGAAUACGUAGAUAUCCGGAGGAACACCAGCGGCGAAGGCGGCUUUCUGGUCUGAUACUGACGCUGAGGCGCGAAAGCGUGGGGAGCGAUCCGG
This 253-nucleotide ribosomal RNA is filed under the name uncultured bacterium. RNAcentral's name for it is "partial 16S ribosomal RNA". It matches the Rfam family "Bacterial small subunit ribosomal RNA", at positions 524 to 776 of the family's 1533-position model. The record is from RNAcentral.